This is a long non-coding RNA of Monodelphis domestica (gray short-tailed opossum), 807 nucleotides long. RefSeq lists it as uncharacterized. NCBI's taxonomy places the organism in Eukaryota, Metazoa, Chordata, Mammalia, Didelphimorphia, Didelphidae. The record is from RefSeq and is a predicted model, not a curated record.
GGGAAACUCAGAACCCCGUGGGGGUUGGGGACAAGGCCACUUCGGACCCCCAUUCUGGGAACCCUAGCAUUCUUUUUUCUCAAGAAAGAGGAAGGGUUCCAGCAUUCCCCAUCACACUAAAUGGGAACUCCAGCUGACUUUCAAGUUUCAUUUCAGCACGUUGGAGAGAGGAGUCAGCCUGAAGCACGUUCAAAAGUACUCCCUGAACGGAAUUUAAAGGCACCACAAUGCAGAGCACCGGAGCGAGCGAGCCCGUACCAAGGACAUAAAAUAGCGUGAUGUCACCGAAGACUGCCGGACUUGCUCUGGGGCCGACACCUGGUGCUGCUACAGGCUACACUCACUUGACUGAGAUCCCUCCCUGCUGACGAAAAGCCCUGAAUUUGGAUGGGCCUGGGAGGAAGAGGACUGGGAAAAAAUAAUGGCUGCUAAAGGGCUUCAGGGGGCUGAAAAAGCCAACUGUGGUUAAUGUCCCCAAAGGAAACAGUUUUUGUCUUCAUCAGUCUCUCUCUCCAAGCACAAGAUCUCUCCUCCUCCCGGCCCUCCGGAGGUUCCCUUCAUCUGCUUCCAAGGCGUCCUAUAUGGACUCUUCUUGGGCAAUUACUUCUUUGAGCUCACCGUAGAGCACACUAGACUUGAGUUAGGAGGACCCGAGUUUGAAUCCUGCCUCUUUUAGAUGUGUGAACCCAGGUAGGCCACAUAGCCUGUCUCGGUGUGCUCCGUUUGAAAAUCAAAUAUUGCUGAAAUGCUUUGUAAAUUGUCAAGGGCUCUCCAAACCAGAAGUGCUUCAGCGUUUCCUCUUUUAUC